UCUUUAUGCACAUCUGGUUGAAUAGACGUUAAAGAAGAAGAUGGCCUCUAAGGUCAAAGUGGCUAUCCACUUAAGAGACCCAAAGUACGCCAUCCCCUCUGUCUCCUUCUGAGCCCACACCUUCCUAAAUUCUUCUAGACUCUGUGUUCCUUACCCCCUGCACCUCAGUCACGUCUGAGGCCUAGCCGCUCCUCCUGUCCUCUCUUCCAUGUGCUUCUGUGGGGUUUGCUUCCUGUGGGUCUGCACCGUUACCGCCUUCAUCACUCAUUUGGAAUUUCUCCUGAGCCACCUUCCUUUUGCACUGUCGUUUGUGCAGGAGAGCCGGCAUGAUGAGGGAGGCCUGGCCCAGUUAUGUCGUGUGGCCUUUUGUUCCCAGCAAGAGUGUUCACUUAGAGACUUCAUUUUGUCUGUUCAUUGGCUCGCAUGGGUAACAGUAAAUGUGUGUUAAUGAUUGCUCAAGAGGUCCGAUUGUGUAAUGGUUGUGAUUUUCAGUCUCGGGACUGAAAGCCUUGUCAGGGCCUAUCGCUGAUUCAUUCCUGUCUCACUGCCUGCCCGUUAUGUGGGUCAGUAUAGAGUGUGGUGGUUUUUUUCACUUGCGCCUCAGAGCCACUAAAAGGAAGACUACCCACUGGGUGUUUGCUGAGUGAGGAGAGUUGACCUGGCUGCUUGUGGUCUGUCUUCAUUUAGAUAAAUACAUGUGUUAGUCAAGUUCUACACUACUAUUCAUUGACCUCGCCGGGCUUCGUUCUACUGCGCUCCAUUCACAGAACUAUCUGUGUCUCUGCAUCUUUUGUGUUUUUGUGGGAAUGCAAGGAACAACCUCAAUGGAAUCUGCUCCCCGAAUUCUGCAAAAGAGAAUGGGGUUCCACCUUCAUCUAAAAGUUACAAAUAACAAAGAGGUUAAUCUGUAAAAUGUCACCAAACAGAAGUAAACUUUAGAUUGUUUUUCAAAAUAAGGUAUGUUUAAUUGUGAAAAUCUGUGUAGGCUAGCGAUUAUAUUUGCCCACAAUUUAAGUCAUAUUUGGGUUUAUCUCAGCCUGGUCAUUAUAAACUAUUCUGAAAUAAUCUAUAUUUCACAUCCUUCAUAUACAAGCAGAUGUUAUGACAGAAUACAUGAAUGUCACAGGUGAGGAUAAAACAGCAAUGACACCAGCAACCAGUGAGAAUAGGGUGAAGUUAUUGUGCCAAUUCACAUAAAAGGCAUCUGGCUAGAACUCACGAGACGCCCUUUGCUCCCAGUCUUUCUGGGUUUUAAGCAUCUUAGGACUUGUCUGCACUCAGUGUACAAGUUGGACAUUAGAUCUAUGAAUUAAUCACAUAUGUAGCCAUGCAAGUUCAAAUUAAUACAAUUUAACUAAAAUUAAAUAUCCCUUGAGUUUGGCCAGCAACACUUCAGUAGUUAGCCUGCUAAUGGUGGCCAUAGAGAGCACAGCCAUGCUCUGUGAGCCAACUUACUCCCAAAGUAAAGGACGCAGAUCACUUCUGUGACACUUUGCCACAAUGUAUUUCACAGAAGUAGCUAAUGGCUGGCCGUGAGGAGGUAAGUAGAGGACUAACAGACUCCACGGUCGGCGCGUGAUGCAGGCAAGUAGAGUGGAUGUUGCGUCAGCCAUGAAACACAAGCAUGUCAGUGCCAGCUGGACAAACAUUGUGUCUCGUGGGCCACCCUCACAGUGUUGCUGGUUUAGAGUAAAAUUCUGGGUAUUGUUGCAUCCAAUUGCAAAGUGUACCAGCUUGUUAAAGACAGAUGUCCAUUCACCUUUCUUUGAAGUUACUUUAGUACCAAUUCUUCCACACCCUUGCUGUCAUCCCAAGAUGAGCUUUGUAAUGAGUUUCCUGGAUAACUCUGUGGAUGUGACUGUAACGCCGACCGAGGAGUGUUUAAAGUAACAGUGCCCUUGAAAUCAAGCCAUAAGCUCUUUUACAUUUCUUACACGUUCACAGGACUCAGUAGGAGGGGAUGGCUUUGGUGUUUCUAAUUUAACUGAAAUGCUGACAUCUGUUAGAAAUUCUUACGGAUACAGAGGACCAAGUUUCCUCCCUGUUGCUUGGCCAUUGAGCCUAAUUUAAAGUGAUAAAUGUAUGAGUCCUUUCUUCUGCCAUCUGCUGGUCGCUGAGACACUUACAGCUUGAGUCUCAGCUAAAGGUGCAUUACUGGUUUGGAGGGUGGUUUGUUUACACUCCCCUGCAGGGUUUGAUGCAGUGCUGCUCACCAGGUUUCAUCUCUUGUUAGGGGCUAUCUCAGCCUACUUUUCAACUCUGACUUUAUAGGAAGGCAUGAAUGUAAAAUGUAGAAAAAACACAAAUUCUGAAAGCCAACUUAUUUGAAAUUCAGAGGGUAAGAGACAUACUUGUUAGAAAAUGUUAGAAAGUGGACCAAGGGCAACUUAUCCCCACUUGAACAUUGCCAAUACAUCAGCUGAGAAAACAGCUGAUUCU
This 2439-nucleotide long non-coding RNA is filed under the name Mus musculus (house mouse). RNAcentral's name for it is "long non-coding RNA chr17:5206476-5208915". Lineage: Eukaryota; Metazoa; Chordata; Mammalia; Rodentia; Muridae. The record is from RNAcentral.